UUCAAACCGCAAGGUUAAUACCUUAUGGUUGGGCAAGACUCUGUUGCGCUUCUUAUUCUAUUUCUCACUAUUGACUCUUUUAAAGAUGAAAAGAAAAUCGAGUCAAGUAUCUGAUCAAUUAAGGUCAGCGCUUGAGAGAUAAUCUUCAAAAUUAUGGCGAUUAA
This 164-nucleotide unclassified non-coding RNA is filed under the name Candidatus Parilichlamydia sp. CR160513-20. RNAcentral's name for it is "16S-23S ribosomal RNA intergenic spacer". The record is from RNAcentral. Lineage: Bacteria; Pseudomonadati; Chlamydiota; Chlamydiia; Parachlamydiales; Candidatus Parilichlamydiaceae.